Long non-coding RNA from Belonocnema kinseyi, 471 nucleotides. RefSeq lists it as uncharacterized. The record is from RefSeq and is a predicted model, not a curated record. The transcript is spliced from 2 exons. NCBI's taxonomy places the organism in Eukaryota, Metazoa, Arthropoda, Insecta, Hymenoptera, Cynipidae.
UUAUAGACUUGUAGUUGUGCAUGAUACUUGUUGUGUUAUAACGUACAAGGACGUCACAACACGUUAUUCUUGAGGUGUAAAAAUAAAUAUUGGUAGUAAACAUGCCCGUGGUACACACCAUGGGUUACGCACCACGAAAGUGUCCAAUCGGGUAUUAUACAUCCAGCAUGUAUACGGCGUCACAAAAGCCGGAGAAACAGAAAAAUCUAAAUAUACUUGAUAAAAAAUGUUGACACGUGCAAAAUUUCGUCGUACCCACGCCAUAGAAGCUCUUUAUGCCACACCUGCGGAGCAUAGCACCGAUGACGCAGAGAGCGACACGGGCGAUAAGCACACUGCAAAAAUAUGUCAACGUUGUUCUUAGCCGUCGGAAGAUACCGAAACUUAAUUAUGAUAUUUGUCUAAAGAAAUUAUUUUCCAGUUUUUCACUAAUAUUUUGAUUCGGAAUAAAAAAUAACAUUGAAAAAUGUU